GUAGAAAUACUUGUGAAACUGCCUCUCCAGGUCAGCCCAUGUAAUUAUUGAGUUGGGUGGCAGUGUAGAAAACCAUUGGAAGGCCGACCCGGACAGGGAUGAUGAGAAAAGGCACACUCGUAGAGCAUCUUGCGCCGCUGCCUCUCCGCAUUGGAUGAUGAAUCUGUUCACGUGCUCUACAGUGGAGGUGUCAUCCAACCCCGAAAACUUGGUGAAAUCGGGAACUUUGUACCGAUGGGGAAACGACAGUAAAUCAUAAGUAGGUGGGUAUGGUGUCUUGUAUGUGUAGGUCUGCAUCUUUGGUUUUAAACCGAAUUGCUCUUGAAUCACCUCCGCUAUGCGUGCCGUCCAGUCUGGUUGUUGCUGAUGGACUAUCGGCUGGGGGACCGGCACGUGUUGCUAGACCGGCGGUGGGAUGACCGGGUGGUGGGCGAGAACGUGGGGCACUUGAUGUGACAUGGCCGGUUGCGUAGUCAGGAUCAGCUGUCUGAGUGAACCGACGGCUUCGUCAUAUAGCACGAUCGGCGCAACGCCCCGAAGUGCUUCCGUUGCUUCUGCC
RNAcentral lists this long non-coding RNA (559 nucleotides) under Setaria viridis. Its description in RNAcentral is "long non-coding RNA (SVIR_LNC006895)". Lineage: Eukaryota; Viridiplantae; Streptophyta; Magnoliopsida; Poales; Poaceae. The record is from RNAcentral.